Molecule: long non-coding RNA, 371 nt
Filed under: Mytilus galloprovincialis (Mediterranean mussel)
Lineage: Eukaryota; Metazoa; Mollusca; Bivalvia; Mytilida; Mytilidae
Source: RNAcentral
AAUGAACGCCAUACUAAUUUCCAAAUUGUACACAAGAAACUAAAAUUAAAAUAAUACAAGACUAACAAAGGCCAGAGGCUCCUGACUUGGGACAGGCGCAAAAAUGCAGCGGGGUUAAACAUGUUUGUGAGAUCUCAACCCUCCCCAUAUACCUCUAACCAAUGUAGAAAAGUAAACGCAUAACAAUACGCACAUUAAAAUUCAGUUCAAGAGAAGUCCGAGUCUGAUGUCAGAAGAUGUAACAAAAGAAAAUAAACAAAAUGACAAUAAUACAUAAAUAACAACAGACUACUAGCAGUUAACUGACAUGCCAGCUCCAGACUUCAAUUAAACUGACUGAAAGAUUAUGAUUUCAUCAUAUGAACAUCAGG